GGCCUCGUGGCCCAAUGGCAAGGCGUUUGACUACGAGACAAGAUGCGAUAUAAUUAUUGGUCUUUGACGCAAUCAAGAGAUUCUGGGUUCGACCCCCAGCGAGGUCA
Poronia punctata is the source of this 107-nucleotide non-coding RNA. Lineage: Eukaryota; Fungi; Ascomycota; Sordariomycetes; Xylariales; Xylariaceae. The record is from the annotation of a GenBank genome assembly.